GACGAACGCUGGCGGCGUGCUUAACACAUGCAAGUCGAACGGAAAGGCCCUGCUUUUGUGGGUUGCUCGAUUGGCGAACGGGUGAGUAAAACGUGAGUAACCUGCCCUUGACUUUGGGAUAACUUCAGGAAACUGGGGCUAAUACCGGAUAGAAUCUCCUGCUGCAUGGUGGGGGUUGGAAAGUUUCGGCGGUUGGGGAUGGACUCGCGGCUUAUCAGCUUGUUGGUGGGGUAGUGGCUUACCAAGGCUUUGACGGGUAGCCGGCCUGAGAGGGUGACCGGCCACAUUGGGACUGAGAUACGGCCCAGACUCCUACGGGAGGCAGCAGUGGGGAAUAUUGCACAAUGGGCGGAAGCCUGAUGCAGCAACGCCGCGUGCGGGAUGACGGCCUUCGGGUUGUAAACCGCUUUCGCCUGUGACGAAGCGUGAGUGACGGUAAUGGGUAAAGAAGCACCGGCUAACUACGUG
RNAcentral lists this ribosomal RNA (468 nucleotides) under uncultured bacterium. RNAcentral describes it as "partial 16S ribosomal RNA". It matches the Rfam family "Bacterial small subunit ribosomal RNA", at positions 28 to 507 of the family's 1533-position model. The record is from RNAcentral.